Molecule: unclassified non-coding RNA, 2081 nt
Filed under: Hevea brasiliensis (rubber tree)
Lineage: Eukaryota; Viridiplantae; Streptophyta; Magnoliopsida; Malpighiales; Euphorbiaceae
Source: RNAcentral
GAUUCGCUCGCUGUAAAUUUCGCAAUUCUCUUUGUCAGCACUUUCACUAAGCUCGUUCUCUUUCUCUCUCUCUCUCUUCCUCUAGAAAAUCGCUUGAAAUCCAGUUCGCAGCAUUCUUAUCUCGCUUUCCCACAACUUUUCCUUCACUGUCUCCUGAAAAUCUAGCGAAGGGCCUUAGAAACAGCAUAGGCAUGUAUAAGAACCAACUGCAAGAGUUGGCUCAAAGAAGCUGCUUCAAUUUGCCGUCUUAUUCAUGUAUAAGGGAAGGACCAGAUCAUGCCCCUCGAUUCAAAGCUACUGUCAAUUUCAAUGGAGAGACUUUUGAAAGUCCUGCCUUUUGCUCUACUCUGAGGCAGGCAGAACAUGCGGCUGCUGAGGUAGCACUCACCACACUUGCAAGCAGAAGAGGACCUUCCAGAGCAUUAGCUGCUAGAAUUCUGGAUGAAACUGGAGUCUACAAGAAUUUGCUUCAAGAGACUGCUCACAGAGCUGGCUUAAAGCUUCCAGUAUAUACCACUGUUCGUUCUGGGCCUGGCCAUGUUCCUGUUUUCUCAUGCACAGUUGAACUUGCUGGAAUGAACUUUUCUGGGCAGCCAGCUAGGACCAAGAAACAAGCUCAGAAGAAUGCAGCAAUGACCACCUGGUUUGACCUAAAAAGACUGGUUGAACAUGGCUCAUACUCCAGUUCAUCAUCUUCUUCUGUGGAGAACAAAAAAGGCGGCGAAGAGCAAGAACAGGUUGUAAUUGCUCGAUUUCUUGCAUCUCUACAACCAUCAGAAUUAAAGAACUUGAAGCAAAGGGAUUUCCAGUGGGGACAGGAGGGAUUUAUUCCUGUCUGCAAGGACUUGACCCCACCAACACUAAACUUAUAUCCUAUGCAGUGCCAAAACUGGGCAUAUCCUGGUUUUUCCCCUGAAAUGGCCAUAUACCAAAUGUGGCAGCAAGAACAACUGCUGCAGUUGCAGAACCGUUUAUUGAUGCUUCAAGCUCCACCAGCUCCUCCUCCUGGUCCUCAAAUUCUUCCAUAUGUGCAGUCUAUACUCCCCUCCGACUCUCGUCUAUUUGUUCCUGUGAGAGAGCAAAAGCCAGUACCCUUAGGGCCAAGAAUUACAAUUGCCACCUCAGGACCAUUAUUGUCCUACUCAGAUAAUGUUGCCUCUGAUCCAGUCAGGGGUAAGUCCACAGUUACCAUUCAGGAGAUACACGAGGAGAAGACAGAAGAAUUAUCCGAGUGCUCUCCAUCACUGGUUCCAGAUCCCCCUGUACUCAGCACCUUAAAGACUGAAGCGAGAUUUAAGGAACCAAAUCAUGAGGAAAAUAAACAUAAAAAUGGUGCACUAGAAAGCAAAGUUGAAAAUGUUCAACUAGGAGAGAGACAAACCGAGCAAUUUGAUCUGGCUUCCCAUAGGCACAUCGAUACAAGAUACGCACAUAUAGGCUUUAAAGUGCAAAAACCCUGUGGUUUUGUCUCCUCCCAUUCUACUUCACAGUAUCCUCGAAGACCGAGUUUGACAAAUUAUAGACCACCUCCAUCUGUAGCACGUCAUGUAACAAUAAAAACUAUGGAGCAUAGACCUUCAUCUGCAGCACCUCCUGUACAGAUCAGAAAUAUGGGACCUGUUUGUUCUGUUUCCAAAUCACAAGAAUUGACAGCACAUAUUCCAGCUCCCCCAAGAAUGAGAACUGGAGGUCCUUUGUAUUCAGCCAGUACCCAUUCUCCAAGAAUGGACUUCGGAAGAGUGCACCCGCGUUUCAUGGCACCAGCAGUUCGAAUAAGAUCAGUUGUACCAGUCUGUUCAGCUCCACCAGCAAGGAAAAUGUCAACUGCUGGGCAAGAUGGAGCAUCACCCAACAGAGAGAAGAAAGAUACAGUACCUGAAGAUGCCUUGGCAGCAAGUUCGGAGCUUGGCAAGCUUAGAAUAUGAACGGAGUAUAAAGACUAGAGUUCAUCUUAUCUUUUUCUUUUACAUUUAGUUAGUUUUUGCAACUAAAUUUAUAGUGGUGUUUGGGCAUCCAAUGUUUUGUAAUCAGUAAAGGGGGAGCUGUUAUAGAUAUUUAUAUAUAAAUAUAUAAUUUAAAGC